RNAcentral lists this ribosomal RNA (253 nucleotides) under uncultured bacterium. RNAcentral's name for it is "partial 16S ribosomal RNA". It matches the Rfam family "Bacterial small subunit ribosomal RNA", at positions 524 to 776 of the family's 1533-position model. The record is from RNAcentral.
UACGUAGGGGGCAAGAGUUGUCCGGAUUUAUUGGGCGUAAAGAGCGUGUAGGCGGCCCGAUAAGUCCGCUGUGAAAGUCCAGGGCUCAACCCUGGAAUGCCGGUGGAUACUGUCGGGCUCGAAUCCGGAAGAGGUGAGUGGAAUUCCUGGUGUAGCGGUGAAAUGCGCAGAUAUCAGGAGGAACACCUGCGGCGAAGGCGGGUUGCUGGGCUGACACUGACGCUGAGGCACGAAAGCUAGGGGAGCGAACGGG